This 108-nucleotide ribosomal RNA is filed under the name Stereum hirsutum. RNAcentral describes it as "5.8S ribosomal RNA". It matches the Rfam family "5.8S ribosomal RNA", at positions 51 to 154 of the family's 154-position model. From Rfam's summary of the family: 5.8S ribosomal RNA (5.8S rRNA) is a component of the large subunit of the eukaryotic ribosome. Lineage: Eukaryota; Fungi; Basidiomycota; Agaricomycetes; Russulales; Stereaceae. The record is from RNAcentral.
AAAUGCGAUAAGUAAUGUGAAUUGCAGAAUUCAGUGAAUCAUCGAAUCUUUGAACGCACCUUGCGCCCUUUGGUAUUCCGAAGGGCACACCUGUUUGAGUGUCGUGAA